AAGGAGGAAAUGAAAGAUUUGAAGUGAGAGUAUAACUAAAAGUUGUGGGAUUAAAAUAAGAAAUCUGGAAAGAGGUUCCAGUUAUUAAGAUCCUGCCGGUCUCCCAUGGUCUGAAGCGUUGGAGUUUUAUCAGUUAUUCUCACCUUUUAUUCAGAAUAAGUAGGGAUCCAGCAGAGGAAGGGGACUGUCACUAGCAGGGCCUGCCUUGACUGCCGUCGCACUUCCCUGCUCAGAAAGUGUCCAGGCCUGCACAUUGCACCCAGGCUCCUUGCCAUCACGUUUCUGUCUCUUACAGGCCUUCCCCACCUUCCCUUCCAGCCUGACCUCCCACCUCCCCUUCUGCAGUAACCUCUGCGUAUUUCACCUCCUCCACCUUCUUGCCAAUGUAGGAUCCCAGCAUCCCCAGCACACACCCUGUUACCUGGCCCUGGUGCAUGUUGGUCACCCCUCAGGACACCGCUGCCCUCCCAUCCUGCCCAGUCGUCGUCUUAGGCCAAGCUCAAAUCUCACCUCCUCUGUGUUGCUUUCCCUGACCAUGAAGCCAAAUGUGUGCAACUCUCUCUGUCUCUGAAUUGCUGCACCACCUGCUUGCUGGAUACUUGGCCGUGGGCAAAGAGUGUAUGCUGCCUUUUCCAUUAACUCGCUCACCAAUUCCCUUCGUUUUGCCAUUGGAAAAGGGCCGGCCCUGGCGGUCCUUUCCCUUCAGCCCCUCCCUCACCAUACUCCCACAAGUGUCUUGAACCACUACUGGUUCUUUGAACCGAGUCUGAACCAUCUUUGUUAUCCCCAACCACCAGCCUUCUCCGUGCCCAGCAACCAGCACCGGAAGGAGAGCCAGGCUGAGCUUCAGUUAAUGUUUGUUGAGUGACUGGAUGGGUUUCUGUGGCCCCUGAGAGGUAAAUGAAAGCCAGUCAAAGCAACGGGAAUAGUUAUUGAUUAAAAGUCACACUUGUUAGUUUCUGGCCAGGUCUCAAAUCUGAUUCUGGGUAGAUCAUUUCCCCCACCCCACCUUCGUCACUAAGGCUACUGGAAGCCCCGCCAGGGGCAGAGCUGUAAUGGGAGUUUGGGCUGAGACUCUCCUCUGCAUAUUUCUUAGUUGUCUAAAGUCACUUUUCAACUCUUUCACCAAGGCACAGUGAUUCCUAUCAACAAGGAGGAAGUGCCAGUGUGACCUCUGUGACCCUUCAGAGUCCCCUCUCCAGGUGCUGCCCCAACAUGAAGCAGGAAUUCCUGUGGAAAGGCACAGGCUUGGACCGAGGGGCUGGGGGAGGGCUGUUGGACCCCCAGAGCACAGGCUCUCCUCUGGAAGCAUUAACAUAGGUAAAUGGUUAACAAAAGGGAGGAUUUCUCCCUGUUCCUCCUCCUCUGCCACAGUAUUGACUUUUAACCACUGACCUUUCUGUGAGGUGUGAGAUUCUGAACAAAGUUGAACGCGGUCAUGGAUGGUUAAAUUCCCACCUUUCCCUUCUGCCCCUGCCUCUGCCCCUCUGCCUUCUCGAAACAUGGCCCGAGAUGUGGAGGCCACCCCCUGGAUGUGGUGGCUGCUGAGAGAGGGAGACACACUUGCUCACAGAAAAUGAAAGUUGGCAAUGACCCUCUGACCCUUUAGGAAUCCAGAAUCUUGGCUCCUAGAAGCCAUAGAGCACUGUACCAAGAAGGCCAAGCCAAGCCAGUCCGAUUGAACUGAACAGAGAAGUGAAGUUCCCUAGUAGAAGAAGGCAUUUUGGAGCACCCAUCCCGGAAACAGCUUUCCAGCCUUGGCCUUUUACUUAUUUCUUCCUGUCUACUUCUCCUCCCUCGUCACCCCUGCCCCCAGGGACCUGCCGGCCCACUGCAUAAGACAUUUUUUAAUUCACUGGCAAAAUCCCCCAGCACCAGGCUUCGCAGCCCUCCCCUGUUACCCACAUAUGUUUUAUGGGGUGUAGCCCGCUAGCUUGCAGUUCCACCCCUCUGCACCCUUCAUUGAGUUUUGGGAGAAGCGCCAUCCAGUCGUGUCAUUUGUUCAGGAUGACUUUUCCAUUCCAUGCCCGCUGCGUUCGUUUUCCUGGAAUGUUCCCAUCAUCUCCCAGCUCCAGUUGGCCAGGGCCAGCAUGCCAUCUCCAUGCUGUUGUGUGGGACUGUUUGGUGCUGACCCGAGGGGUGGGUUGGUGGAGUAUGAGCCUGGGCUGGGUCCUUAUAAGGCCUGGAGUUUCUCGGUUUCAUGCGUUAUCCAUCCCCGACCACUGAGAGCUGAGUAGGAUCCCGUGGUUAGUGCCCUUGAGCUGGUCUUUGUGACCUUUCUCUAAGCAGCCCAACCACACACUGCCAUGCAGCUUUGAACUUCAGACCUGGUUUCUAAAUCCAUGGAAGCUGAGAGGAGGAAGAAAAUCUGAGGGGUUACCCAGGAUGCCGGCUUUCUCUCUACAUCCUUCCCUACCCCAGCCCUGUGCAGCAGGCAGGAGUGUAGGAACUCAGGCAGCUGGACUGGGGAGGAGGGAGAGAGGGAAGGAUGAUACCAGUUUAGGCUAGUGAGAAAUCUGCAAAACCCUAGAUGUGCUGUGCCUGGGAACAGACCAUGAACACCCCCGCAAAGCUCUCAGUGGUCAAGCCAGAUUUGGGUAACGACUCACUUUGAUCUCAGCUCUUCCUGCUCUCUUAAAGGUCCAGUUUGUGAUCCUCUUUAAAGGAAUAUUUUAUUUUCAAUACAGACACAGCCCUUGACGUAGCAGUAAAAACCUUCCCCCCUGAGAGACACGUGGCUGUGAAGUGUUUUGG
This 2754-nucleotide small RNA is filed under the name Pongo abelii (Sumatran orangutan). Its description in RNAcentral is "retained intron". The record is from RNAcentral. Lineage: Eukaryota; Metazoa; Chordata; Mammalia; Primates; Hominidae.